AUUGAACGCUGGCGGCAGGCCUAACACAUGCAAGUCGAGCGGAUGAAGGGAGCUUGCUCCUGGAUUCAGCGGCGGACGGGUGAGUAAUGCCUAGGAAUCUGCCUGGUAGUGGGGGAUAACGUCCGGAAACGGGCGCUAAUACCGCAUACGUCCUGAGGGAGAAAGUGGGGGAUCUUCGGACCUCACGCUAUCAGAUGAGCCUAGGUCGGAUUAGCUAGUUGGUGGGGUAAAGGCCUACCAAGGCGACGAUCCGUAACUGGUCUGAGAGGAUGAUCAGUCACAAUGGAACUGAGACACGGUCCAGACCCCGACGGGAGGCAGCAGGGGGGAAUUUUGGACAAUGGGCAAAACCUUGACCCAGCCAUACCGCGGGGGUAAAGAAGGUCUUCGGAUUUAAAAGCAUUUAAGUUUGGAAGGAAGGGAAGUAUUUUAAUCCCUUGUUGUUUUGAGGUUACAAAAAAAAUAAGCACCGGCUAAUUUCGUC
Molecule: ribosomal RNA, 484 nt
Filed under: uncultured bacterium
Lineage: Bacteria
Description: partial 16S ribosomal RNA
Rfam family: Bacterial small subunit ribosomal RNA
Source: RNAcentral